Molecule: ribosomal RNA, 1378 nt
Filed under: uncultured Gammaproteobacteria bacterium
Lineage: Bacteria; Pseudomonadati; Pseudomonadota; Gammaproteobacteria
Description: uncultured gamma proteobacterium 16S ribosomal RNA
Rfam family: Bacterial small subunit ribosomal RNA
Source: RNAcentral
UGAACGCUGGCGGUAUGCUUAACACAUGCAAGUCGAACGGAAACGAUACUAGCUUGCUAGUAGGCGUCGAGUGGCGGACGGGUGGGUAACGCGUAGGAAUCUGCCUGAUAGUGGGGGAUAGCCCGAAGAAAUUCGGAUUAAUACCGCAUAAUCUAUUCGUAGUAAAGUGGGGGACUUUCGAGCCUCACGCUAUCAGAUGAGCCUGCGUAAGAUUAGCUUGUUGGUAGGGUAAAAGCCUACCAAGGCGACGAUCUUUAGCUGGUCUGAGAGGAUGAUCAGCCACAUCGGGACUGAGACACGGCCCGAACUCCUACGGGAGGCAGCAGUGGGGAAUAUUGGACAAUGGGGGCAACCCUGAUCCAGCAAUACCGCGUGUGUGAAGAAGGCCUGAGGGUUGUAAAGCACUUUCAAUUGUGAAGAAAAGUUAGCGGUUAAUAACCGUUAGCCUUGACGUUAACUUUAGAAGAAGCACCGGCUAACUCCGUGCCAGCAGCCGCGGUAAUACGGAGGGUGCAAGCGUUAAUCGGAAUUACUGGGCGUAAAGCGUGCGUAGGCGGUUUAUUAAGUCAGAUGUGAAAGCCCCGGGCUUAACCUGGGAACUGCAUUUGAAACUGGUCAACUAGAGUAUGGUAGAGGAAAGUGGAAUUUCUGGUGUAGCGGUGAAAUGCGUAGAUAUCAGAAGGAACAUCAAUGGCGAAGGCAGCUUUCUGGACCAAUACUGACGCUGAGGUACGAAAGCGUGGGUAGCAAACAGGAUUAGAUACCCUGGUAGUCCACGCCGUAAACGAUGAUAACUAGCCGUUGGGGGGAUUUACCCUUUAGUGGCGAAGCUAACGCGUUAAGUUGUCCGCCUGGGGAGUACGGCCGCAAGGUUAAAACUCAAAGGAAUUGACGGGGACCCGCACAAGCGGUGGAGCAUGUGGUUUAAUUCGAUGCAACGCGAAGAACCUUACCUGGUCUUGACAUACACGGAACUUUCCAGAGAUGGAUUGGUGCCUUCGGGAACCGUGAUACAGGUGCUGCAUGGCUGUCGUCAGCUCGUGUCGUGAGAUGUUGGGUUAAGUCCCGUAACGAGCGCAACCCUUAUCCUUAUUUGCCAGCACAUCAUGGUGGGAACUAUAAGGAGACUGCCGGUGAUAAACCGGAGGAAGGCGGGGACGACGUCAAGUCAUCAUGGCCCUUACGACCAGGGCUACACACGUGCUACAAUGGGAAGGACAAAGGGUUGCUAAGCCGCGAGGUGGUGCUAAUCUCAUAAACCUUUUCGUAGUCCGGAUCGGAGUCUGCAACUCGACUCCGUGAAGUCGGAAUCGCUAGUAAUCGUGGAUCAGAACGCCACGGUGAAUACGUUCCCGGGUCUUGUACACACCGCCCGUCA